AUACGUAGGGUGCGAGCGUUGUCCGGAAUUACUGGGCGUAAAGAGCUCGUAGGUGGUUUGUCGCGUCGUCUGUGAAAUUCCGGGGCUUAACUCCGGGCGUGCAGGCGAUACGGGCAUAACUUGAGUACUGUAGGGGAAACUGGAAUUCCUGGUGUAGCGGUGAAAUGCGCAGAUAUCAGGAGGAACACCGGUGGCGAAGGCGGGUCUCUGGGCAGUAACUGACGCUGAGGAACGAAAGCAUGGGUAGCGAACAGGAUUAGAUACCCUGGUAGUCCAUGCCGUAAACGGUGGGCGCUAGGUGUAGGGGUCUUCCACGACUUCUGUGCCGUAGCUAACGCAUUAAGCGCCCCGCCUGGGGAGUACGGCCGCAAGGCUAAAACUUAAAGGAAUUGACGGGG
Molecule: ribosomal RNA, 398 nt
Filed under: uncultured bacterium
Lineage: Bacteria
Description: partial 16S ribosomal RNA
Rfam family: Bacterial small subunit ribosomal RNA
Source: RNAcentral